RNAcentral lists this ribosomal RNA (206 nucleotides) under uncultured bacterium. RNAcentral's name for it is "partial 16S ribosomal RNA". It matches the Rfam family "Bacterial small subunit ribosomal RNA", at positions 524 to 728 of the family's 1533-position model. The record is from RNAcentral.
UACGUAGGUGACCAGCGUUGUCCGGAUUUACUGGGCGUAAAGAGCGCGCAGGCGGUCGUUCAAGUCGAGUGUGAAAGCCCCCGGCUCAACUGGGGAGGGUCACUCGAUACUGAUCGACUUUGAAGGCAGGAGAGGGAAGCGGAAUUCCCGGUGUAGUGGUGAAAUGCGUAGAUAUCAGGAGGAACACCGGUGGCGAAGGCGGGUCU